Molecule: ribosomal RNA, 456 nt
Filed under: uncultured bacterium
Lineage: Bacteria
Description: partial 16S ribosomal RNA
Rfam family: Bacterial small subunit ribosomal RNA
Source: RNAcentral
AAUGAACGCUGGCGGCAGGCCUAACACAUGCAAGUCGAACGGAUCCUUCGGGAUUAGUGGCGGACGGGUGAGUAACGCGUGGGAACAUACCCAAAGGUACGGAAUAGCCUCGGGAAACUGGGAGUAAUACCGUAUGUGCUCGAAAGAGGCAAGAUUUAUCGCCUUUGGAUUGGCCCGCGUUGGAUUAGGUAGUUGGUGGGGUAAUGGCCUACCAAGCCGACGAUCCAUAGCUGGUUUGAGAGGAUGAUCAGCCACACUGGGACUGAGACACGGCCCAGACUCCUACGGGAGGCAGCAGUGGGGAAUAUUGCGCAAUGGGCGAAAGCCUGACGCAGCAACGCCGCGUGCGGGAUGACGGCCUUCGGGUUGUAAACCGCUUUCAGCAGGGAAGAAGCCGCAAGGUGACGGUACCUGCAGAAGAAGCACCGGCUAACUACGUGCCAGCAGCCGCGGUAA